Molecule: ribosomal RNA, 1284 nt
Filed under: Triticum aestivum (bread wheat)
Lineage: Eukaryota; Viridiplantae; Streptophyta; Magnoliopsida; Poales; Poaceae
Description: partial small subunit ribosomal RNA
Source: RNAcentral
AUGAGCGGCGGCGAGCUGGUAGAGACGACACCGGAGGCGGCGGUGGUGGUGGGUUCGCGGUUCUGCGCGCCGGCCGCCACCGCGUUCGCGGUGACCAAGACGAUCAGCGUGACGGGGCGCGACUUCACCGUCACGGACGCCCGCGGCGCGGCCGUGAUGCAGGUGGAGGAGGCCGUGUUCAGCUUCCUCCAGCACCGCUCCCUCCUCCUCCGCUCCUCGACGCGGCGUCGCGCCGCCCCGUUGCUCACCCUGCAGGACUCCACCUACUUAGCGAGCACGAGGUGGGAGGCGUACAGGGGGGACAGCACCAGCCGGAGGAACCUGCUCUUCGUCGCGGUGAAGACGGCGCCCGUGCAGCUCGCCAGGACCAAGGUGCGCGUGUUCCUCGCCGGCAACGGCUCCAGCGAGCGGGUCCCGGACUUCGUCAUCGGUGGCAGGCUGGCAGCUACUACGCCGGCGCGUGCAUUGUCUCUGCUGGAGGCGACGACUCCGACUGCGCCUGGGAGGGAGUUGAGUUGUGGGCCAUUUAUCAAACUCACAUCCAGCGACCGCAGAGAAGUAGGAUGGACGGACGGCAGCGGAGUAGCUGCGCUGGCCGCCACGCACAAAGAAGAGGAGGUAGCCAGUCCAUCAGCGGGAGACAUGCCGUGGCCGUGGGAGAGUACGGCGGCCCUGGUGGACGCGCGCUACACGACGACGCUAACGGUGACCAGAUCGAAAACCCCGCGGGGCUACGGGUUCGCCGUGACGGACGGCGGCAGCGGCGCGGCCGUGAUGCAGGUGGAGACCUCCUACUUCGGCGGCGGCCGCGAUCUGCGUUCGCUCCUCUUCCUAGGCGCCGCCACGCGCCGCCCCUUGCUCCUUGUCGAGGAGUCCCCGUCCCUGUUCAGAGCGGGCCGGCGGUGGGAGGCGUUGAGGGGGCGGUGCGCCAGCCAGGCGGACCGGCUCUUCCUUGCCGUGGACAGGGCGCGUUUUUUCUUCGAGCUGAUGACCAACGUCGACGUGUUCCUCAACGGCAACUCCUCCGGCGAGGGGGAGCCUGAUUUGGCCGUCCAGAGCAGCGACUACGGCAAUGCGAUGACCGUCUCCCGCCGUGGCGCCGCCAUCGCGAAGAUCGACAAGAAGAGGAGCACCUUUUGGGCCGACCUGGCUGGAGAGCGCGCAUACAAUGUCAGGGUCAACCCGGGCGUCGACCAAGUGUUGGUCCUGGCACUCACCGUGGUUCUCGACCAGAUGCAUAAUCCUGAUUAUGUAUCACGCUGUUCAUGCGGACGUAGAAGAUAA